This 301-nucleotide ribosomal RNA is filed under the name uncultured bacterium. RNAcentral's name for it is "partial 16S ribosomal RNA". It matches the Rfam family "Bacterial small subunit ribosomal RNA", at positions 509 to 807 of the family's 1533-position model. The record is from RNAcentral.
CAGCCGCCGCGGGAAUACGAAGGGGGCUAGCGUUGUUCGGAUUUACUGGGCGUAAAGGGCGCGUAGGCGGACUGAUAAGUCAGGGGUGAAAUCCCAAGGCUCAACCUUGGAACUGCCUUUGAUACUGUUUGUCUUGAGUUCGAGAGAGGUGAGUGGAACUGCGAGUGUAGAGGUGAAAUUCGUAGAUAUUCGCAAGAACACCAGUGGCGAAGGCGGCUUACUGGACGACAACUGACGUUGAGGCUCGAAGGCGUGGGUAGCAAACAGGAUUAGAUACCCGGGUAGUCCCUGUCUCUUAUAC